Molecule: ribosomal RNA, 723 nt
Filed under: uncultured Lachnospiraceae bacterium
Lineage: Bacteria; Bacillati; Bacillota; Clostridia; Lachnospirales; Lachnospiraceae
Description: bacterial SSU rRNA
Rfam family: Bacterial small subunit ribosomal RNA
Source: RNAcentral
CUAACACAUGCAAGUCGACGAGAUGCUUAUCGGAAAGCUUCGGCCGGAAGAUAAGUUAUCUAGUGGCGGACGGGUGAGUAACACGUGGGUAACCUGCCUUAUGGAGGGGGAUAACAGAGAGAAAUCACUGCUAAUACCGCAUAAGCACACAGUACCGCAUGGUACAGGGUGAAAAGAUUUAUCGCCAUAAGAUGGACCCGCGUCUGAUUAGCCAGUUGGCAGGGUAAAAGCCUACCAAAGCAACGAUCAGUAGCCGAUCUGAGAGGAUGACCGGCCACAUUGGGACUGAGACACGGCCCAAACUCCUACGGGAGGCAGCAGUGGGGAAUAUUGCACAAUGGGGGAAACCCUGAUGCAGCGACGCCGCGUGAGUGAAGAAGUAUUUCGGUAUGUAAAGCUCUAUCAGCAGGGAAGAUAAUGACAGUACCUGACUAAGAAGCCCCGGCUAACUACGUGCCAGCAGCCGCGGUAAUACGUAGGGGGCAAGCGUUAUCCGGAUUUACUGGGUGUAAAGGGAGCGUAGACGGAAUGGCAAGUCUGAAGUGAAAUACCCGGGCUCAACCUGGGAACUGCUUUGGAAACUGUUGUUCUAGAGUGUUGGAGAGGUAAGUGGAAUUCCUGGUGUAGCGGUGAAAUGCGUAGAUAUCAGGAAGAACACCGGAGGCGAAGGCGGCUUACUGGACAAUAACUGACGUUGAGGCUCGAAAGCGUGGGGAUCAAACA